GCACCCGUAGCUCAAUCGGAUAGAGCAUCAGUCUUCGGAACUGAGGGUUAGAGGUUCGAGUCCUCUCGGGUGCG
Molecule: transfer RNA, 74 nt
Filed under: Isosphaeraceae bacterium
Lineage: Bacteria; Pseudomonadati; Planctomycetota; Planctomycetia; Isosphaerales; Isosphaeraceae
Description: tRNA-Arg
Rfam family: tRNA
About the family: Transfer RNA (tRNA) molecules are approximately 80 nucleotides in length.
Source: RNAcentral